This is a long non-coding RNA of Suricata suricatta (meerkat), 271 nucleotides long. RefSeq lists it as uncharacterized. The transcript has 3 exons. NCBI's taxonomy places the organism in Eukaryota, Metazoa, Chordata, Mammalia, Carnivora, Herpestidae. The record is from RefSeq and is a predicted model, not a curated record.
UGGGAAAUCAUAACUUGGGAAGCAGAGACUUAGGGGAUGAAGAGCUGAGUCCUCUGGGACCUGUCUUACGGUGCUCCUGCAGAAGGAUCACUAACACAACUGGACAGGAAUGGUUGGGAGCAGUGGGUGGAGUUCAUGUAUCUCAAACAUAGAAAAUAUGUUCCAUCUGUUUCACUGCCAGCCUGGAGAAUCUGCAUUCUCUUCUGCUAGGAAUGCAGAAGGGAUAAACACUGAGAAAUCUGCAUUUGCCAUCUCCAACAGCAUUCUUGAG